Molecule: ribosomal RNA, 557 nt
Filed under: uncultured Kaistia sp.
Lineage: Bacteria; Pseudomonadati; Pseudomonadota; Alphaproteobacteria; Hyphomicrobiales; Kaistiaceae
Description: bacterial SSU rRNA
Rfam family: Bacterial small subunit ribosomal RNA
Source: RNAcentral
ACGGGUGAGUAACGCGUGGGAACCUACCUUGUGGUACGGAACAACCAAGGGAAACUUUGGCUAAUACCGUAUGAGCCCGAGAGGGGAAAGAUUUAUCGCCAUAAGAUGGGCCCGCGUCGGAUUAGCUAGUUGGUGAGGUAAUGGCUCACCAAGGCGACGAUCCGUAGCUGGUCUGAGAGGAUGACCAGCCACACUGGGACUGAGACACGGCCCAGACUCCUACGGGAGGCAGCAGUGGGGAAUAUUGGACAAUGGGCGGAAGCCUGAUCCAGCCAUGCCGCGUGUGUGAUGAAGGCCUUAGGGUUGUAAAGCACUUUCGCCGAUGAAGAUAAUGACGGUAGUCGGAGAAGAAGCCCCGGCUAACUUCGUGCCAGCAGCCGCGGUAAUACGAAGGGGGCAAGCGUUGUUCGGAUUUACUGGGCGUAAAGCGUACGUAGGCGGAUGAUUAAGUCAGGGGUGAAAUCCCGAGGCUCAACCUCGGAACUGCCUUUGAUACUGGUCAUCUUGAGUCCGGGAGAGGUGAGUGGAACUCCUAGUGUAGAGGUGAAAUUCGUAGA